This 253-nucleotide ribosomal RNA is filed under the name uncultured bacterium. RNAcentral describes it as "partial 16S ribosomal RNA". It matches the Rfam family "Bacterial small subunit ribosomal RNA", at positions 524 to 776 of the family's 1533-position model. The record is from RNAcentral.
UACGUAGGCAGCAAGCGUUUUUCGGAAUUACUGGGCGUAAAGGGUGCGUAGGCGGUUUUGUAAGUUUGGUGUGAAAUCUCCCGGCUUAACUGGGAGGGUGCGCCGAAAACUGCAAGGCUAGAGUGCAGGAGAGGAGAGUGGAAUUCCUGGUGUUGCGGUGAAAUGCGUAGAUAUCAGGAGGAACACCGGUGGUGUAGACGGCUCUCUGGACUGUUACUGACGCUGAGGCACGAAAGCGUGGGGAGCAAACAGG